This 250-nucleotide ribosomal RNA is filed under the name uncultured bacterium. Its description in RNAcentral is "partial 16S ribosomal RNA". It matches the Rfam family "Bacterial small subunit ribosomal RNA", at positions 524 to 773 of the family's 1533-position model. The record is from RNAcentral.
UACGGAGGGAGCUAGCGUUGUUCGGAAUUACUGGGCGUAAAGCGCGCGUAGGCGGCUUUGUAAGUUAGAGGUGAAAGCCUGGAGCUUAACUCCAGAAUUGCCUUUAAGACUGCAUCGCUUGAAUCCGGGAGAGGUGAGUGGAAUUCCGAGUGUAGAGGUGAAAUUCGUAGAUAUUCGGAAGAACACCAGUGGCGAAGGCGGCUCACUGGACCGGUAUUGACGCUGAGGUGCGAAAGCGUGGGGAGCAAAC